RNAcentral lists this ribosomal RNA (435 nucleotides) under uncultured bacterium. RNAcentral's name for it is "bacterial SSU rRNA". It matches the Rfam family "Bacterial small subunit ribosomal RNA", at positions 28 to 458 of the family's 1533-position model. The record is from RNAcentral.
GACGAACGCUGGCGGCGCGCCUAACACAUGCAAGUCGAACGGAGCUUAGAGAGCUUGCUUUUUAAGCUUAGUGGCGAACGGGUGAGUAACGCGUGAGUAACCUGCCCUAGAGUGGGGGACAACAGUUGGAAACGACUGCUAAUACCGCAUAAGCCCACGGUACCGCAUGGUACUGAGGGAAAAGGAUUUAUUCGCUUUAGGAUGGACUCGCGUCCAAUUAGCUAGUUGGUGAGGUAACGGCCCACCAAGGCGACGAUUGGUAGCCGGACUGAGAGGUUGAACGGCCACAUUGGGACUGAGACACGGCCCAGACUCCUACGGGAGGCAGCAGUGGGGGAUAUUGCACAAUGGGGGAAACCCUGAUGCAGCGACGCCGCGUGGAGGAUGAAGGUUUUCGGAUUGUAAACUCCUGUCGUUAGGGACGAUAAUGACGGU